AGUGAACGCUGGCGGUGGGCCUAACACAUGCAAGUCGAACGGCAGCACAGGAGAGCUUGCUCUCUAGGUGGCGAGUGGCGGACGGGUGAGGAAUACAUCGCAUUCUGCUCAGUCGUGGGGGAUAACGUAGGGAAACUUACGCUAAUACCGCAUACGACCUGCGGGAGAGAGAGGGGGAUAGCAAGACCUCUCGCGAUUGGAUGAGCCGAUGUCGGUUUAGAUAGUUAGCGGGGUAAUGGCCCACCAAGGCGACGAUCCGUCGCUGGUCUGAGAGGAUGAUCGGCCACAUUGGAACUGAGACACGGUCCAGAGGCCUACGGGAGGCAGCAGUGGGGAAUAGUGGACAGUGGGCGGAAGCCUGAUCCAGUCAUACCGCGUGGGUGAAGAAGGCCUUCGGGUUGUAAAGCCCUUUUGCUGGGAAAGAAAUCUUUCAGGCUAAUACCCUGGGAGGGUGACGGUACCGAAAGAAUAAGCACCGGCUAACUUCGUG
RNAcentral lists this ribosomal RNA (490 nucleotides) under uncultured bacterium. RNAcentral describes it as "partial 16S ribosomal RNA". It matches the Rfam family "Bacterial small subunit ribosomal RNA", at positions 29 to 507 of the family's 1533-position model. The record is from RNAcentral.